GCCAGUGUGGGGUAGUGGUUUGAUCAUUGGAUUAUAACUCUGGUGACUAAGGUUCAAUUUCUUGCUCACUGGUU
Molecule: non-coding RNA, 74 nt
Organism: Phrynosoma platyrhinos (Desert horned lizard)
Lineage: Eukaryota; Metazoa; Chordata; Lepidosauria; Squamata; Phrynosomatidae
Source: the annotation of a GenBank genome assembly